RNAcentral lists this transfer RNA (66 nucleotides) under Chaetoderma nitidulum. RNAcentral's name for it is "tRNA-Ile". The record is from RNAcentral. Lineage: Eukaryota; Metazoa; Mollusca; Caudofoveata; Chaetodermatida; Chaetodermatidae.
UAUACCACACCGGCAGAACGGAUUACACUGAUGAAGUAAAAUAUUAUAAUUUUUUAUAUGGUAUAA